This 492-nucleotide ribosomal RNA is filed under the name uncultured bacterium. Its description in RNAcentral is "partial 16S ribosomal RNA". It matches the Rfam family "Bacterial small subunit ribosomal RNA", at positions 29 to 507 of the family's 1533-position model. The record is from RNAcentral.
AGUGAACGCUGGCGGUAGGCCUAACACAUGCAAGUCGAACGGCAGCACAGUAAGAGCUUGCUCUUACGGGUGGCGAGUGGCGGACGGGUGAGGAAUACAUCGGAAUCUACUUUUUCGUGGGGGAUAACGUAGGGAAACUUACGCUAAUACCGCAUACGACCUACGGGUGAAAGCAGGGGAUCUUCGGACCUUGCGCGAUUGAAUGAGCCGAUGUCGGAUUAGCUAGUUGGCGGGGUAAAGGCCCACCAAGGCGACGAUCCGUAGCUGGUCUGAGAGGAUGAUCAGCCACAACGGAAAUGAGACACGGUCCAGACUCCUAAGGGAGGCAGCAGGGGGGAAUAUUGGAAAAUGGGGGCAAGCCUGAUCCAGCCCUACCGCGGGGGUGAAGAAGGCCUUUGGGUUGUAAAGCCCUUUUGUUGGGAAAGAAAAGCAGCAGGUUAAUACCCCGCUGUUUUGACGGGACCCAAAGAAUAAGCACCGGCUAAAUUCGUG